RNAcentral lists this ribosomal RNA (484 nucleotides) under uncultured bacterium. RNAcentral's name for it is "partial 16S ribosomal RNA". It matches the Rfam family "Bacterial small subunit ribosomal RNA", at positions 29 to 507 of the family's 1533-position model. The record is from RNAcentral.
AUUGAACGCUGGCGGCAUGCUUUACACAUGCAAGUCGAACGGCAGCGCGGGCUUCGGCCUGGCGGCGAGUGGCGAACGGGUGAGUAAUACAUCGGAACGUGCCCAGUAGUGGGGGAUAGCUCGGCGAAAGCCGGAUUAAUACCGCAUACGACCUGAGGGUGAAAGCGGGGGAUCUUCGGACCUCGCGCUAUUGGAGCUGCCGAUGGCAGAUUAGCUAGUUGGUGGGGUAAAGGCCUACCAAGGCGACGAUCUGUAGCUGGUCUGAGAGGACGACCAGCCACACUGGGACUGAGACACGGCCCAGACUCCUACGGGAGGCAGCAGUGGGGAAUUUUGGACAAUGGGCGAAAGCCUGAUCCAGCAAUGCCGCGUGUGUGAUGAAGGCCUUCGGGUUGUAAAGCACUUUUGGCGGGAACGAAAAGGACUGUGCCAAUACCACGGUUCGAUGACGGUACCCGCAGAAUAAGCACCGGCUAACUACGUG